GACGAACGCUGGCGGCGCGCCUAACACAUGCAAGUCGAACGAGAGAGAGGGAGCUUGCUUCCUCAAUCGAGUGGCGAACGGGUGAGUAACGCGUGAGGAACCUGCCUCAAAGAGGGGGACAACAGUUGGAAACGACUGCUAAUACCGCAUAAGCCCACAGCUCGGCAUCGAGCAGAGGGAAAAGGAGCAAUCCGCUUUGAGAUGGCCUCGCGUCCGAUUAGCUAGUUGGUGAGGUAACGGCCCACCAAGGCAACGAUCGGUAGCCGGACUGAGAGGUUGAACGGCCACAUUGGGACUGAGACACGGCCCAGACUCCUACGGGAGGCAGCAGUGGGGAAUAUUGCACAAUGGGGGAAACCCUGAUGCAGCGACGCCGCGUGGAGGAAGAAGGUCUUCGGAUUGUAAACUCCUGUUGUUGAGGAAGAUAAUGACGGUACUCAACAAGGAAGUGACGGCUAACUACGUG
This 466-nucleotide ribosomal RNA is filed under the name uncultured bacterium. RNAcentral describes it as "bacterial SSU rRNA". It matches the Rfam family "Bacterial small subunit ribosomal RNA", at positions 28 to 507 of the family's 1533-position model. The record is from RNAcentral.